Molecule: non-coding RNA, 725 nt
Organism: Cyanistes caeruleus (blue tit)
Lineage: Eukaryota; Metazoa; Chordata; Aves; Passeriformes; Paridae
Source: RefSeq, a predicted model, not a curated record
UAGCAGCAGCACAUUGGGUCAGUGGUGUUCCAAAUAUAUUCUUGCCUAGUACAGAAGAAGAUAGUGUCAUCAUGGACUUACCUUUCUUUGGAGACUGCUUUAACUGUUUCCCACCUAUGAACCCAUAGUGACUUGGAUUAGCAGUGGAUCUGAGAGCUACAGAAGCUGCUACACAGAAAGACUGUGAACACUCCCAGCACAGAUGGGAACUGAGAAACCUUUUCUACCUCACUGAGGAUUGGUAGCUAGACAAGGGAUACAGAAUGCAAAACACUUCAGCAGAGAGUGGUUGAGACAUCUGGUCACCAGUCCUCAGCGCUGGUCCAUGGAUAAAUUGGAGUAGCAUCGGAUAUCCAGAAGAGGGCACUUGUGGCUCUCCAGUCUGUCUGCUCAACCCAAAACCCUGUCUGCACUACAAACUUCUUGUGACUGGGGGGGAAAAGGCUGGAGGGACUCUUAUCUUAAAUGAGCUGAAAUACUAAUAAGCAAUUAUGGGUUAUGCGUAGCAUCAGUUGGAAGAUUUGCUUGCAGGUUUCUGCUAUCAAUGGGCAUAUUUAUCACACCAGCUGCUAUCAAAAAAGAACACCACCAUUCAAGUGCUUUCAGAACUGCAGCUGAUGGCUGCAGAAAGCCACCCUUGCACCAAAAUGACUAAAAGCGUUUUCUGCUUAAAGUUUAGUCCAACCUAUUAGGUUAAUAAGUAUUUAGACAGUGUCUCUGGGCGC